GAUAAACGCUGAAGGCAUCUAAGCGUGAAGCCCCCCUCGAGAUGAGAUAUCCCAGUAAAGUAAGGCCCCCCGGAGAGUACGGGGUAGACAGGCAUGAGGUGUAAGUACAGUGAUGUACUCAGCUGACAUGUGCUGAUCGGCCGAGGGCUUGACCA
RNAcentral lists this ribosomal RNA (155 nucleotides) under Clostridiales bacterium. Its description in RNAcentral is "partial 23S ribosomal RNA". It matches the Rfam family "Bacterial large subunit ribosomal RNA", at positions 2763 to 2925 of the family's 2925-position model. The record is from RNAcentral. Lineage: Bacteria; Bacillati; Bacillota; Clostridia; Eubacteriales.